AGAGAGGGACCCCGGCUCUGUCCUCCGGCCACCGGCUUACAAUCGUGCACGCGCUUCACGCACCGCCUUUGAUGCCGUCGCAUACGGCGGUUAGGGUUUUCAAAACUCUAUUUUGCGCAACCAAUAAAAAAGGUAACUCUGUUUUCUUUUUGUUUCCUUUGAUUAUAUUCUAAGAUCGGCGCAUUCACACCAGAAAAUAAACAUGUAAAUGGAAAAUAGUAAUAAAGUGAUUCGAUUACCUUAAAAAACAAAGACUGUCUUUUAUUUCUUCUGUUUUUUAUGAAUACAACCGUUUGUAAUUCCCUAUCUCUCUGUGUUUUUCUCUCUGUAUAUCUCUAUGUGUGUCAUUUACAAGUGAAAGGGAAGGCUUUAUAGCCUUAAUCCUUUACAUAUUCUGGGAAAGAAAUCGUAGAUUUCUUUCCAUUUUCGUGUCUUCUGUAUCUUUGACUAAUAUGCUAUGAUUUUCUUGCCCUUUCCUGCUCUGCUUUUUCGCGUAUCUGCUGUUUGUUUCCUUUUCUUGCAGGUGACUCACGAUGAUCUUGGUGAUUCAAGGGCUGCUGGCACGAUUCGAGGCCGGAUCGGGGCAUUGGUGAGCAUUGAAGACCCUUGGGAUAGCGCAUUAAUGGCGGCCUCGAUUUCAGGGACUGAACAGACGCUCUCCGAAUUCUCUAAAACCUCUUGCGGCGCCACAAUAUUUAGGAAACCCUAGGGUUUCCUGUUUACCUUAAGUCUUUUGGGCUGUUUCAAAUUCGGGCUUAGGUAUUUUGGGUUACGGGUGUAAUAGGGUUUGCUGGGUAGUUUUGAUUUUGGGCCUACUAUUUGGGCUUUGUAACCUGGACUUGGACUGUUUAAUAAAUAAAUAUUUAUUUAUUUA
This 874-nucleotide long non-coding RNA is filed under the name Gossypium barbadense (sea-island cotton). RNAcentral describes it as "long non-coding RNA (GBAR_LNC006665)". Lineage: Eukaryota; Viridiplantae; Streptophyta; Magnoliopsida; Malvales; Malvaceae. The record is from RNAcentral.